Molecule: non-coding RNA, 523 nt
Organism: Phasianus colchicus (ring-necked pheasant)
Lineage: Eukaryota; Metazoa; Chordata; Aves; Galliformes; Phasianidae
Source: RefSeq, a predicted model, not a curated record
AUCACUGUGCAGUGCCUAUGGCCUGUCUGAUGCAGCAGCCAGAGCAGGUCCUGCACAGAGCCACAGGUAUUUUCACUUGAGCGUAUUGAAUUUUCUCAGCAGACUCUGACGACCUAGAGAGGGGGAACGACAGCGGGACGCCACUCCCCACCUCUGAUAAUGGUGACAAUUCGCUGGGCUACACAGGUCAGAGAGGACCUGUACAGACACCUGACUUCCAGCAGGGAGACAUUAGGCAGUGACAAGAGGAUAAAUCUUCUUCAGUUGGCACACCUUCAGCUGAAAUAUUUGUGAAUAAGCACUGUGUAAGCUAAAAACUGGCUACCCUCCUAAACAGAUGAGCAAUGUGAGUGAAAUCAGUGAGUUCCACUGAUGUGAACAUGGCGUGCAAGGAGGCCACAAUGCCCAUCUUUGGCCAGAUGACUUCUGAAAACUCCAGAGAAGGAAAAAUGGGAGCAAAUCUGCAUGUUUUAAUGUACAUCAAAUAUUACAAUGACUACAGUCAAUUAAAUCAUGUCUAUGU